ACGAACUUAACCAUUAGUUUACUAUUGGAGCGGUUAGUGGCGGACUGGUGAGUAACACGUAAGCAACCUGCCUAUCAGAGGGGAACAACAGUUAGAAAUGACUGCUAAUACCGCAUAUGCCUUAGAAUCACAUGGUUCAAAAGGGAAAGGAGCAAUCCGCUGAUAGAUGGGCUUGCGUCUGAUUAGCUAGUUGGUGGGGUAAUGGCCUACCAAGGCAACGAUCAGUAGCCGAACUGAGAGGUUGAACGGCCACAUUGGGACUGAGAUACGGCCCAGACUCCUACGGGAGGCAGCAGUCGGGAAUAUUGCGCAAUGGAGGAAACUCUGACGCAGUGACGCCGCGUGCAGGAAGAAGGUUUUCGGAUUGUAAACUGCUUUAGACAGGGAAGAACAAAGACAGUACCUGUAGAAUAAGCUCCGGCUAACUACGUGCCAGCAGCCGCGGUAAUACGUAGGGAGCGAGCGUUAUCCGGAUUUAUUGGGUGUAAAGGGUGCGUAGACGG
RNAcentral lists this ribosomal RNA (503 nucleotides) under uncultured bacterium. RNAcentral describes it as "bacterial SSU rRNA". It matches the Rfam family "Bacterial small subunit ribosomal RNA", at positions 62 to 578 of the family's 1533-position model. The record is from RNAcentral.